UCAAGAGUGUAUGACCCCACUAAUAAAAUAGUGGGGUUAACCUCCCGUCCUUUGCUGGCCCUUCCCUUUUGUGGAGGGGGGCAUUUUGAUUUCUGCUUCGGUGGGGUUUACUCACCGAAACACCCUCAAAAAAUUCUUUUUCAAGACCGUUCAGUCCGAGUAUUAUUUUUUGAAUUAACGAA
Molecule: unclassified non-coding RNA, 182 nt
Filed under: uncultured fungus
Lineage: Eukaryota; Fungi
Description: sequence contains ITS1
Source: RNAcentral